AGCGAACGCUGGCGGCAGGCCUAACACAUGCAAGUCGAACGAACCUUUCGGGGUUAGUGGCGGACGGGUGAGUAACACGUGGGAACGUGCCUUUAGGUUCGGAAUAACUCAGGGAAACUUGUGCUAAUACCGAAUGUGCCCUUCGGGGGAAAGAUUUAUCGCCUUUAGAGCGGCCCGCGUCUGAUUAGCUAGUUGGUUGAGGUAAUGGCUCACCAAGGCGACGAUCAGUAGCUGGUCUGAGAGGAUGAUCAGCCACAUUGGGACUGAGACACGGCCCAAACUCCUACGGGAGGCAGCAGUGGGGAAUCUUGCGCAAUGAGCGAAAGCCUGACGCAGCCAUGCCGCGUGAAUGAAGAAGGUCUUAGGAUUGUAAAAUUCUUUCACCGGGGAAGAUAAUGACGGUACCCGGAGAAGAAGCCCCGGCUAACUUCGUG
RNAcentral lists this ribosomal RNA (434 nucleotides) under uncultured bacterium. RNAcentral's name for it is "partial 16S ribosomal RNA". It matches the Rfam family "Bacterial small subunit ribosomal RNA", at positions 29 to 507 of the family's 1533-position model. The record is from RNAcentral.